This 398-nucleotide ribosomal RNA is filed under the name uncultured bacterium. RNAcentral describes it as "partial 16S ribosomal RNA". It matches the Rfam family "Bacterial small subunit ribosomal RNA", at positions 360 to 774 of the family's 1533-position model. The record is from RNAcentral.
AAUAUUGCGCAAUGGGGGAAACCCUGACGCAGCAACGCCGCGUGAGUGAAGAAGGUCUUCGGGUCGUAAAGCUCUGUCCUUGGGGAUGAAUAAUGACAGUACCCAAGGAGGAAGCCCCGGCUAACUACGUGCCAGCAGCCGCGGUAAUACGUAGGGGGCAAGCGUUGUCCGGAAUUACUGGGCAUAAAGAGUGCGUAGGCGGCAAGUUAAGUCAGAUGUGAAAGUCCAAGGCUCAACCAUGGAAUUGCAUAUGAAACUGGUUUGCUUGAGUGCAGGAGAGGAGAGCGGAAUUCCUAGUGUAGCGGUGAAAUGCGUAGAUAUUAGGAAGAACACCAGUGGCGAAGGCGGCUCUCUGGACUGUAACUGACGCUCAGGCACGAAAGCGUGGGUAGCGAACA